Xenopus laevis (African clawed frog) is the source of this 447-nucleotide long non-coding RNA. RefSeq annotates it as ATP synthase membrane subunit e S homeolog. The transcript is spliced from 4 exons. The record is from RefSeq and is a predicted model, not a curated record. Lineage: Eukaryota; Metazoa; Chordata; Amphibia; Anura; Pipidae.
ACGUGAAAGAGACGUUCCCCGAGACGUUCGCGUGAUCGUGACGUCACUCGCGGCCUCUUAUCAACUGGGAACUGGCAGCCAGCGCCUGCUUAGUGCCAGUGUCACUUGGAGGAGACAAGAUGGUUCCACCGGUCCAAGUAUCACCUCUUAUUAAGUUCGCCAGAUAUUCUGCAUUGCUGGUUGGAAUUAUUUAUGGCACAAAAAGAUAUGACUAUUUGAAACCAAUUGCUGAAGAAGAAAGAAAGGUAGAAGCUGAAGAGAAAAUAAAGCGAGAGGAAGCAGAGCGAAUUGCUAAGGAAUUAGCAGCAGCUAAUGAAGAUACCAUUCUGAAAUGAAUUUCCAUCCGUUAAAGGACGCUGUAUCACCAUCUUGUAUUUCCUUGUUUAUUGUUCUUGAAUUGCUUAUGUAAAAGAAAUGUAUGGUAAUAUAAACAGACAAAGAUUAAAA